This 498-nucleotide ribosomal RNA is filed under the name Anelosimus oritoyacu. RNAcentral describes it as "partial 16S ribosomal RNA". The stretch from base 105 to 404 matches the Rfam family "Bacterial large subunit ribosomal RNA", at positions 2074 to 2646 of the family's 2925-position model. The record is from RNAcentral. Lineage: Eukaryota; Metazoa; Arthropoda; Arachnida; Araneae; Theridiidae.
UUUGUUUUUUAAUUAAAAACUAGAAUGAAAGGUUAUACAUUCAAAUUUCUUUAUUAAUUUUUAAUAAAUAAUUUAUAUUAAAUAUAAAAAUAUAUUUAUAAAAAAAAAAGACGACAAGACCCUAUUAAAUUUUACUUAUAGUUUAGCUGGGGAAGCUUUUUAAUUAAAAUUUUUUAAAUUUAAUAAAUAAAAAUCUAAUAAAAUUAAAAUUUUAAUAAAUUACUAUAGGGAUAACAGCAUUAUAUUUUUUUAAAGUUCAUAUUAAAAAAAAAAAUUGUGACCUCGAUGUUGAAUUAUAUUUUCUAUAUUUAAUGCAAUAAUUAUAAAAGUAGAUCUGUUCGAUCUUUAAAAUAUUACAUGAUUUGAGUUCAAACCGGUGUAAACCAGGUUGGUUUCUAUCUUUUUAUAUAUUUUUCUAGUACGAAAGGACAAAAAAAUUUUUAUUUCAAUAAAUUAGCAAAUAAAUGCAUUAGAUUUAGAAUCUAAAUAUAUUUAAUA